UACGGAGGGUGCAAGCAUUAAUCGGAUUUAUUGGGCGUAAAGGGCGCGUAGGCGGGAGAACAAGUCAGAUGUGAAAUCCUGGGGCUCAACCUCAGAACCGCAUUUGAAACUGUUUUUCUUGAGGAUAGGCGGAGAAAACGGAAUUCCACAAGUAGCGGUGAAAUGCGUAGAUAUGUGGAAGAACACCGGUGGCGAAGGCGGUUUUCUAGCUUAUUCCUGACGCUGAUGCGCGAAAGCAAGGGGAUCAAACAGG
RNAcentral lists this ribosomal RNA (253 nucleotides) under uncultured bacterium. RNAcentral's name for it is "partial 16S ribosomal RNA". It matches the Rfam family "Bacterial small subunit ribosomal RNA", at positions 524 to 776 of the family's 1533-position model. The record is from RNAcentral.